GUCUACAGCCAUACCACCCUGAACACGCCCGAUCUCGUCUGAUCUCGGAAGCUAAGCUGGGUUGGGCCUGGUUAGUACCUGGAUGGGAGACCACCUGGGAAUACUGUAGUAUUGCUGUAGGUG
Ribosomal RNA from Monodelphis domestica (gray short-tailed opossum), 123 nucleotides. The record is from Ensembl. Lineage: Eukaryota; Metazoa; Chordata; Mammalia; Didelphimorphia; Didelphidae.